Molecule: ribosomal RNA, 362 nt
Filed under: unidentified archaeon
Lineage: Archaea
Description: bacterial SSU rRNA
Rfam family: Archaeal small subunit ribosomal RNA
Source: RNAcentral
UCAGUAACACGUAGUCACCUAACUCGUGGACGUGGAUUAAUCUCGGGAAACUGAGGGAUAAACCACGAUAGAUAACGGUGCCUGGAAUGGCCCAUUGUCGAAAUAGUUUACUUGCCACGGGAUGGGACUGCGGCCUAUCAGCUUGUUGGUGAGGUAAUGGCCCACCAAGGCUAUAACAGGUACGGGCUCUGAGAGGAGAAGCCCGGAGAUGGGUACUGAGACACGGACCCAGGCCCUAUGGGGCGCAGCAGGCGGGAAACCUUAGCAAUGUGCGAAAGCGCGACUGGGUCAGUCCGAGUGAUUUCUGAUAAAGGAAUCUUUUGCCCGUCCUAAAAGCACGGGCGAAUAAGGGGUGGGCAAGU